GCCUCAGGCCGCCCUCGACCGUCACCGAGAAGCGACGCAACACGUCGGCGGCCGAGAACAGCGAUGCACGGUCAUUCCUCGUACAACCGGACCUCUAACAAUGAACCAGUAUAUGAGAAAGAAAACCAGUCUCGUUACCUUAGACUCACACCCUCACCCCAGCAGGAAAUGUAACUGUCGAGGGGUGCCAAGAGAAGGAGUUUCAGGUCAGGGAAGCGAGCUGUGGGAAGCCAGAAACCACUCACCCCACCAAGAGGAAGAGCAGAGAGCAGUCUACUCCAGGCAGCCGGUUCAGCUUAAGAGCCAUACAGUCUCAUCCAUCUGCCAUCUUACAUCCCACCCCCCAACUCCCACCCAGGCUGGCCUCUGCUAUCUUCAGCCCCUGGGAUCCACCUUGGCUGUACAAGGUCAUAGCUUCCAGCUUGAGCCCACCCAGCCAGCUGUUCAAACCCUAAACCCUAUAGUGAGUGCCUGUGCAGCCAGAAAGCCUGCCCAGAUACUGCAACUGCACCCACAAGGCCAAGCGUUCAGACUGGCCGUGGUUGCUGACCCCUACCCAGACCGUGUGCACCCCCUGGCUCCUGAUCUCUCCCCGCCAGGAUAGAACUGUGGUCCUCUGUCUGAUCUUCACUAUGCCUCCUUGAGCAUACACACACACAGAGUGAGUGUAUGCUUUAUCUGCACUUGGACAAACAGCUAGUGGCCAAAGUGACGUGGUCACAGGCAUGCUGUCCAAAGGGCAGGUCUGUCCUCCUCACCUCCCAGCUGCCAUGUACUGAGAACUUCAGUCCUGGCAUCUGGUCCCAGCUUUCUAACUCUUGCAAGAUAGAUGAUUGGCAGAACUUACCACCUCUCUGGCAGCAGACACGCCUACCUCACUUCACCUGAGGGGACCAGGGUGCAGCAUGGGAGAAAGGUCAUGAUCCCAGGGUCGUAGGAUGGAGCCCCGCAUCGGGCGUGCGCUGGGCAUAGAGGCUGC
This is a long non-coding RNA of Hyaena hyaena (striped hyena), 979 nucleotides long. RefSeq lists it as uncharacterized. The transcript is spliced from 4 exons. NCBI's taxonomy places the organism in Eukaryota, Metazoa, Chordata, Mammalia, Carnivora, Hyaenidae. The record is from RefSeq and is a predicted model, not a curated record.